This 414-nucleotide ribosomal RNA is filed under the name uncultured microorganism. RNAcentral's name for it is "bacterial SSU rRNA". It matches the Rfam family "Archaeal small subunit ribosomal RNA", at positions 459 to 872 of the family's 1478-position model. The record is from RNAcentral.
CAGCCGCCCCGGUAAUACCGGCGGCCCGAGUGGCGGUCACUAUUAUUGGGCUUAAAGCGUCCGUAGCCGGGUUGGGAAGUCCUCCGGGGAAUCUGGCCGCUUAACGGUCAGAAUGCCGGAGGAUACUCCCAGCCUAGGGAGCGGGAGAGGCCGAGGGUAUUCCCGGGGUAGGGGGGAAAUCCUAUAAUCCCGGGAGGACCACCUGUGGCGAAGGCGCUCGGCUGGAACGCGUCCGACGGUGAGGGACGAAGGCCAGGGGAGCAAACCGGAUUAGAUACCCGGGUAGUCCUGGCUGUAAACGAUGCGGACUUUGUGUCGGACAAGCUAUGAGCUUGUCCGGUGCCGGAGGGAAACCGUUAAGUCCGCCGCCUGGGGAGUACGGCCGCAAGGCUGAAACUUAAAGGAAUUGGCGGG